UGGGUAUUUUUUUUUUCAAAAUACAUGCUUCAACAGAUGCGCCAUGGAUUUUCAUCCACCUCUGUUGAUAACGCCUGGUUAUCUGUACCUUGCUUCUCAAAAAGAGUCAUUAAACAAGGAGGUAAUAAAAAAAUAGAAGCUUUCCAGUUUACAGAACGGGACUUCUUCCUUUGGCAAAAUGUAUCAGACUCUGGUGCUCAGAUGGUGAGCACUGCACAUUUGGACAGGUACAGCCCUGUAGUGCUCCAGAACUCUGACGCCAGAAGGUAAUGGAGGAUGGACGCGUCAAACUUUCCCUCAGUGGCCCUAGGUAGGUGCGUCAGUGGCUUAAAUUAGUUAGGCCUUUAGUUUCUAAUUCCCUUUUUAAAGUUGUCACCUGAGAACAACUCGACUCUGACAGCACACACAGGAAGUGAGGUGUUCUGCUUGGCUAGCAAACACUGGAACCCUGCAGUCACUUCAGCGCUUUAGACAUUUAGAGAGCUACGAUUUUACAACUGAAGAAAGGUCUGGGAGGACAGGUACAUCGUAAAAUGACAUUGUGCACUCUUUGUGGAAAGAGGCAUAUUUCAAAUAACUGAAGUAUGCUCCCAGGCUUCACACGGCCUCCAGGCCCUGUUCUCUGCAAUGCUGUUUGGUUUUAAGGUCUCUCAGCCCACGGGUAGCUGCUGCUCUGUUUCUGUCUGUGGACAGGGUAUAUGAUAGAGUCACAGCCCUGCUUCAGUUACCCAAUACCUGCACUGCAGGCUACGCCCGUGCAGGUUCCAGGAACUGCUCUGCUCCAUUAUAUGACAGGAAACUCUGCUUGUUCAUCAGUUUUCUGUAAAGCCCAUUGGGCUUCAGGAGCAGCUCUUCAUGUGUCCCGUGUUCACAGAUCUUUCCGUGGUCAAGGACAGCAACAAAGUUGGCAUUCUUAAUGGUGGACAGGCGGUGGGCUAUGAUCAGCACGGUUCUCCCUUCCAUCAGCCGGUCAAGGGCCUCCUGGACCAGGUGCUCAUUUUCGGCAUCCAGUGCACUGUGACAGACAAGGCCACACACAAGAGGAAGCAGAGAUGACAGAGCUGUAUACAUGGUUGCUCACACUGCUAAGACGCCCUCCAGCCUGGACACACGCACACUAGAUACACUAACACUGUCACACAUGUCACAAAGAUAACCUCACCUGGUUGCUUCAUCAAGGAGAAGAAUUUUGGGGUUCUGAAAAAGUAAGAGUGGAAGAAUCAAAAUGACUUCUCAGUACACACAGCGCUGGACAGCGAGAGGACAGCUGAGGCUCAGUAUGUAAAGGCACUAACCACCAAGCCUGACAGCCCGAACGCCACACCAUUAGACCUGACAAGUUGUUUGCUGACCUUUGUGUACUCCGUCCC
This 1370-nucleotide long non-coding RNA is filed under the name Mus musculus (house mouse). RNAcentral describes it as "long non-coding RNA chr8:123953560-123954930". Lineage: Eukaryota; Metazoa; Chordata; Mammalia; Rodentia; Muridae. The record is from RNAcentral.